Molecule: ribosomal RNA, 484 nt
Filed under: uncultured bacterium
Lineage: Bacteria
Description: partial 16S ribosomal RNA
Rfam family: Bacterial small subunit ribosomal RNA
Source: RNAcentral
AUUGAACGCUGGCGGCAUGCUUUACACAUGCAAGUCGAACGGCAGCGCGGGCUUCGGCCUGGCGGCGAGUGGCGAACGGGUGAGUAAUGCAUCGGAACGUGCCCAGUAGUGGGGGAUAGCCCGGCGAAAGCCGGAUUAAUACCGCAUACGACCUGAGGGUGAAAGCGGGGGACCGAAAGGCCUCGCGCUAUUGGAGCGGCCGAUGUCGGAUUAGCUAGUUGGUGGGGUAAAGGCUUACCAAGGCGACGAUCCGUAGCUGGUCUGAGAGGACGACCAGCCACAGGGGGACGGAGAGAGGGCCGCGCCUCCGGGGGGAGGCGGCAGGGGGGAAUUGGGGAAAGUGGGGGCAACCGUGACCCAGCCAGGCGGCGGGGGGGAAGAGGGCGUUGGGGUGGAAAACGGGUUUUGUUGGGGAAGAAAUCUUGGGGGCUAAGCCCCGGGGGGGGUGACGGUACCGGAAAAAAAAGCACCGGCUAACUACGUG